RNAcentral lists this long non-coding RNA (229 nucleotides) under Elaeis guineensis (African oil palm). RNAcentral describes it as "long non-coding RNA (EGUI_LNC041273)". The record is from RNAcentral. Lineage: Eukaryota; Viridiplantae; Streptophyta; Magnoliopsida; Arecales; Arecaceae.
GUAUUGGGUUUGGAACCCUAGAAGUGGUAGAUUAGAUCUAUCACUAAUUGCUGUUCUUGUUCAAACGCUUGUAAUAUUAGAUUCAGAUUUUUAUGCAUAUAAAUUUAUAUUAUAAAUCUAUUUAUUAGAAUUUUAAGAUCUGAUAUUAUAUAUAUAUUUAUAGAUUAAAUAGUUUAAUCUUUUAUUCUUUCAUUAAAAUUUUUUGAAAUGCAUGCAUAAAACCCCUGCA